RNAcentral lists this ribosomal RNA (224 nucleotides) under uncultured bacterium. Its description in RNAcentral is "partial 16S ribosomal RNA". It matches the Rfam family "Bacterial small subunit ribosomal RNA", at positions 96 to 334 of the family's 1533-position model. The record is from RNAcentral.
CGGCGGACGGCUGAGUAACGCGUGAGAACAUACCCCAAACGGAGGGAGUAACUAGUCGAAAGAUUAGCUAAUACCGCAUGUGAUCUUUGGAUUAAAGCAUUUAUGCGCUUUGGGAAUGGCUUGCGUACGAUUAGAUAGUUGGUGAGGUAAAGGCUCACCAAGUCGACGAUCGUUAGAUGGUUUGAGAGGAUGAUCAUCCAGACUGGGACUGAGACACGGCCCAG